Molecule: ribosomal RNA, 465 nt
Filed under: uncultured bacterium
Lineage: Bacteria
Description: partial 16S ribosomal RNA
Rfam family: Bacterial small subunit ribosomal RNA
Source: RNAcentral
GACGAACGCUGGCGGCGUGCUUAACACAUGCAAGUCGAACGGAAAGGCCCUGCUUGCAGGGUACUCGAGUUGCGAACGGGUGAGUAACACGUGGGUGAUCCGCCCUGCACUUCGGGAUAAGCCUGGGAAACUGGGUCUAAUACCGGAUAGGAGCCAUUUUUAGUGUGAUGGUUGGAAAGUUUUUUCGGUGUAGGAUGAGCUCGCGGCCUAUCAGCUUGUUGGUGGGGUAAUGGCCUACCAAGGCGGCGACGGGUAGCCGGCCUGAGAGGGUGGACGGCCACAUUGGGACUGAGAUACGGCCCAGACUCCUACGGGAGGCAGAAGUGGGGAAUAUUGCAAAAUGGGCGCAAGCCUGAUGCAGCGACGCCGCGUGGGGGAUGACGGCCUUCGGGUUGUAAAAUCCUUUCGCUAGGGACGAAGCUUUUUGUGACGGUACCUAGAUAAGAAGCACCGGCUAACUACGUG